AUUGAACGCUGGCGGCAGGCCUAACACAUGCAAGUCGAACGGUAACAGGAAGAAGCUUGCUUCUUUGCUGACGAGUGGCGGACGGGUGAGUAAUGUCUGGGAAACUGCCUGAUGGAGGGGGAUAACUACUGGAAACGGUAGCUAAUACCGCAUAACGUCGCAAGACCAAAGAGGGGGACCUUCGGGCCUCUUGCCAUCGGAUGUUCCCAGAUGGGAUUAGCUAGUAGGUGGGGUAACGGCUCACCUAGGCGACGAUCCCUAGAUGGUCUGAGAGGAUGACCAGACAAACUGGAACUGAGACACGGUCCAGACGCCGACGGGAGGGAGCAGUGGGGAAUAUUGCACAAUGGGCGAAAGCAUGAUGCAGCAAUGCCGCGUGUAUGAAGAAGGACUUCGGGUUGUAAAGUACUUUCAGCGGGGAGGAAGGGAGUAAAGUUAAUACCUUUACUCAUUGACGUUACCAGCAGAAGAAGCACCGGCUAACUCCGUG
This 490-nucleotide ribosomal RNA is filed under the name uncultured bacterium. RNAcentral's name for it is "partial 16S ribosomal RNA". It matches the Rfam family "Bacterial small subunit ribosomal RNA", at positions 30 to 507 of the family's 1533-position model. The record is from RNAcentral.